RNAcentral lists this ribosomal RNA (266 nucleotides) under uncultured bacterium. RNAcentral describes it as "partial 16S ribosomal RNA". It matches the Rfam family "Bacterial small subunit ribosomal RNA", at positions 28 to 292 of the family's 1533-position model. The record is from RNAcentral.
GAUGAACGCUAGCGGCAGGCCUAAUACAUGCAAGCCGAACGGCAAGUUGAGUAGCAAUACUUGACCUAGAGUGGCGUAAGGGUGCGUAACACGUAUGCAAUCUGCCCUCAACAGGAGGAUAGCUCCCCGAAAGGGAAUUAACCCUCCAUGGGAGUCUUAGAGUGGCAUCACUUAGAGAUUAAACCGCAAGGGGUUGAGGAUGAGCAUGCGCAUGANAGUUAGUUGGCGGGGUAACGGCCCACCAAGACGAUGAUCAUUAGGGGAAC